GCUAGGUGUGGUGGCACACCCCGGUAAUUCCAGCUACAGGGGAGGAUGAGGCUAGAUGAUUUUCACAGCCUGGGGAUUUCUGAGCUCUGGGAGGCUUAAAGCCUAUCUGGGGUUCACACUAAAUCUGGCAUCAAUAUUGUGAGCCCCUGGGAGGGAGCGAGCAUCAGGUUGCUUAAGGAAAGGUGAACCAGCCAAGGUUGGAAAUGGAGGCGGUUAAAGCUUCCGUGCUGAUUGGCAUUGUGAUCAGGACCAUGGGUGGCUGCUGUAUGUCCAGCCUGAGUGAGACAGGGAGGGGCUGUCUCCA
This 304-nucleotide signal recognition particle RNA is filed under the name Phascolarctos cinereus (koala). RNAcentral's name for it is "Metazoan signal recognition particle RNA (ENSPCIG00000028472.2)". It matches the Rfam family "Metazoan signal recognition particle RNA". From Rfam's summary of the family: The signal recognition particle (SRP) is a universally conserved ribonucleoprotein. The record is from Rfam by way of RNAcentral. Lineage: Eukaryota; Metazoa; Chordata; Mammalia; Diprotodontia; Phascolarctidae.